Danio aesculapii is the source of this 253-nucleotide long non-coding RNA. RefSeq lists it as uncharacterized. The record is from RefSeq and is a predicted model, not a curated record. The transcript is spliced from 4 exons. NCBI's taxonomy places the organism in Eukaryota, Metazoa, Chordata, Actinopteri, Cypriniformes, Danionidae.
GGGGGAGCAGAUAAGAGCAACCGAAGAUUUCCUCACACAGACUGAUGUGAUAUAUACAAGAUUGCUCUCACCAUUCAAGCUCAUGUAAGAUCAAUGAUGAGAACAGAAACAUAACCACAACCCCCCUGUAGCCAACCUUUCUGCACAAACUGGACUACUUUCACUCCACCAGCAGAUUGAAGACAAGUUAGAUGCUGUGAUCCGCUGCCUGCUUUCCGACCUGGGAGAAUCAUCUCAGGAGCUCAAUGAGGAC